RNAcentral lists this long non-coding RNA (1024 nucleotides) under Homo sapiens (human). RNAcentral describes it as "HSALNT0333699". The record is from RNAcentral. Lineage: Eukaryota; Metazoa; Chordata; Mammalia; Primates; Hominidae.
AGAAUAUCCAUCCAUCUAUCCAUGCUUCUGUCUACCUAUCUACCUCCUUGCAAGAACACUUCUUGUUCAUCUUCUCAUUGAGUUUGAUUGCUGGAAAAGUGGCUUCCAUAUCCCCUGACUUAAUGCAAGUAGUGGAAACACCUGCUCAGUGAACAAGUACUUUGGAAAAUGCCCUCAGAACUUCACACAUCAGAAAAACAUGUGUGUCUCCCUGCUCAACCCUGGAGUUGCCAAUAUGCUACAUGUUAAUUCCUCACUGACCUUACUCAAGCCCUCUGGAAGAGAAUGGUGCUCCUAAAAAUGUCCCAGUGGCAUGGGACAGCAAAUUCCUCUGUGCUCACUGCAAGAAAGCACACAAUUCAACUUUUCAAUCCCAUUGAGUAUCUGAAAAUGAACUGUAUUUUCAAUGUAUUCCCCUCCAGAGAGUACAUUGCAGAGGAAACCUGUUCAAAUCCACAAAUGAUUUUGAGUCAAGAAGCUAAAUAUGAGGUCCUUCAAGAAAAGUUAAGAGAUUCCCUGACCUUAAAUUUCAUGUUGCACUUAUAAGAUGGACCUGUUAGCAUCUGUCCCCACCUCUGGGUACCCGGCAGAAUGUGCUGUCUUUUGGGACUCAGGGAGAUAGUCACCCACACCAGGAGCACCAAAUAAAUCCCUAGGAGGGACUCCAUGGUCCACCCAGGAGCCUCCUCAAGCAACUUCUUCCCCCAAAUAACCUUGAAGUCCUAGAAAUCAACUAAGAAAAAAGAUAUCCAUGUCUUUGAUUUAAAAAAAAUAAUGAAAUGCCAACAGUCCAGCACCCAAUAGGGAAGCUAUGAGACUACAUUUUCUGCAUGUGGAGAAGACACAUCUAAUGGAGAAAUGGGAAACUGCUUCAAAAGUGUUGGGCCACAGUGAGAGAAUGUGGUUGUCACCACCACCACCCACUGCCCACUCACUCAGUAACCCCUCCCCAUUUUAACAAACACACCAAUGAUGAGAAACACUUUGUACCUUCCUCUACUGUAAUAAGCCUAUUAUCAUGUCA